This 670-nucleotide ribosomal RNA is filed under the name Pseudovibrio sp. Its description in RNAcentral is "bacterial SSU rRNA". It matches the Rfam family "Bacterial small subunit ribosomal RNA", at positions 26 to 742 of the family's 1533-position model. Lineage: Bacteria; Pseudomonadati; Pseudomonadota; Alphaproteobacteria; Hyphomicrobiales; Stappiaceae. The record is from RNAcentral.
AGAACGAACGCUGGCGGCAGGCCUAACACAUGCAAGUCGAACGGAUCCUUCGGGAUUAGUGGCAGACGGGUGAGUAACGCGUGGGAAGCUACCUUGUGGUAGGGAACAACAGUUGGAAACGACUGCUAAUACCCUAUGAGCCCUAUGGGGGAAAGAUUUAUCGCCAUGAGAUGUGCCCGCGUUAGAUUAGCUAGUUGGUAAGGUAAUGGCUUACCAAGGCGACGAUCUAUAGCUGGUCUGAGAGGAUGAUCAGCCACACUGGGACUGAGACACGGCCCAGACUCCUACGGGAGGCAGCAGUGGGGAAUAUUGGACAAUGGGGGCAACCCUGAUCCAGCCAUGCCGCGUGAGUGAUGACGGCCUUAGGGUUGUAAAGCUCUUUCAGCAGUGAAGAUAAUGACAUUAACUGCAGAAGAAGCCCCGGCUAACUUCGUGCCAGCAGCCGCGGUAAUACGAAGGGGGCUAGCGUUGUUCGGAAUCACUGGGCGUAAAGCGUACGUAGGCGGACUGAUCAGUCAGGGGUGAAAUCCCGGGGCUCAACCCCGGAACUGCCUUUGAUACUGUCAGUCUUGAGAUCGAGAGAGGUGAGUGGAACUCCGAGUGUAGAGGUGAAAUUCGUAGAUAUUCGGAAGAACACCAGUGGCGAAGGCGGCUCACUGGCUCGAWACUG